This 255-nucleotide ribosomal RNA is filed under the name uncultured bacterium. RNAcentral describes it as "partial 16S ribosomal RNA". It matches the Rfam family "Bacterial small subunit ribosomal RNA", at positions 524 to 777 of the family's 1533-position model. The record is from RNAcentral.
UACGUAGGGUGCAAGCGUUGUCCGGAAUUAUUGGGCGUAAAGAGCUCGUAGGCGGUCUGUCGCGUCUGGUGUGAAAACUCAGGGCUUAACCCUGAGCUUGCAUCGGGUACGGGCAGACUAGAGUGCGGUAGGGGAGACUGGAAUUCCUGGUGUAGCGGUGAAAUGCGCAGAUAUCUGGAGGAACACCGGUGGCGAAGGCGGCAUCCUCGGACCGGUAUUGACGCUGAGGCGCGAAAGCCAGGGGAGCAAGCAGGG